UGCGUAGGGGGCAAGCGUUGUCCGGAAUCAUUGGGCGUAAAGAGCGUGUAGGCGGCCCGAUAAGUCCGCUGUGAAAGUCCAGGGCUCAACCCUGGAAUGCCGGUGGAUACUGUCGGGCUCGAAUCCGGAAGAGGUGAGUGGAAUUCCUGGUGUAGCGGUGAAAUGCGCAGAUAUUAGGAGGAACACCGGUGGCGAAGGCGCCGCUCUGGGCCGAAACUGACGCUGAGGAGCGAAAGCAUGGGUAGCAAACAGG
Molecule: ribosomal RNA, 253 nt
Filed under: uncultured bacterium
Lineage: Bacteria
Description: partial 16S ribosomal RNA
Rfam family: Bacterial small subunit ribosomal RNA
Source: RNAcentral